RNAcentral lists this ribosomal RNA (465 nucleotides) under uncultured bacterium. RNAcentral's name for it is "partial 16S ribosomal RNA". It matches the Rfam family "Bacterial small subunit ribosomal RNA", at positions 29 to 507 of the family's 1533-position model. The record is from RNAcentral.
ACGAACGCUGGCGGCGUGCUUAACACAUGCAAGUCGAACGGAAAGGCCAGUGCUUGCACUGGUACUCGAGUGGCGAACGGGUGAGUAACACGUGGGUGAUCUGCCUUGCACUCUGGGAUAAGCUUGGGAAACUGGGUCUAAUACCGGAUAUGAACUGCCUUUAGUGUGGUGGUUGGAAAGUUUUUUCGGUGCAAGAUGAGCUCGCGGCCUAUCAGCUUGUUGGUGGGGUAAUGGCCUACCAAGGCGUCGACGGGUAGCCGGCCUGAGAGGGUGUACGGCCACAUUGGGACUGAGAUACGGCCCAGACUCCUACGGGAGGCAGCAGUGGGGAAUAUUGCACAAUGGGCGGAAGCCUGAUGCAGCGACGCCGCGUGGGGGAUGACGGCCUUCGGGUUGUAAACUCCUUUCGACAGGGACGAAGCGUAAGUGACGGUACCUGUAGAAGAAGCACCGGCUAACUACGUG